Molecule: long non-coding RNA, 6443 nt
Filed under: Homo sapiens (human)
Lineage: Eukaryota; Metazoa; Chordata; Mammalia; Primates; Hominidae
Description: HSALNT0212785
Source: RNAcentral
UGGCAAAUUCUCAGACUGGGACUUCAGGAUGUGGAAAUCGGGAGCCACUGCUGAGGUGGCCAACUGAAGGUGAAGAAGCCCAAGCGUCUGAAGUGCGGGCAGGGCCUGAGGCGUCUCGAGCUUAUCCAGCAAGCAAAGCCCGGGCAGCCUAAGCGCGCGCCACCCACACCCAGGUCGACCCACUCUUCCCGCCCACUGGCCCGCCGCAGCUCCCUCCAUUGGCUCGCGGCACCUGUCCGUUUCCUGGGAGAGUUCAGCACCUCCCGGCAGGAAGAGGCUCCGGCCUCAUUGGGUGCGUGAGAAGGGAAGGGUGGAUCCUAAAAGAUCCCUUUUACAGUUGGAUUCUCCCUCUUGGAUCUGGCUCUGCCUUAGUCCGACCUAGAGGGAUCAGCUUCGCCCACGCCCACUCUCACCCGGAACCUUUCAUCUCUUAUUGAAGCCUUUUAGGCCCAUUGGGAUGUUCAUUAGAACUCUGAAAACUACAGUUCUCCCCUUUAUGAGGACUGCACCACAGCUCGCCCUCUCCUGGGUUCCGGUAAGAAGAGAUUCCAAUACCACUCUUUUUUCAGAAUUCAGAAAGGCAAGAGACCACCUUACUGAGCUUCAAACUGGGGCUGGGAACGCUGCCAUGAAUUGGGCUUGGUCUGUCUGAAGGGAGCCACCUUUUCGACAAUCCUUAGACUUCUUUUGCCUGUUGGAAUUACACCUUGGAUCGUGGCGAAGUCUAUAGAGGUCAGAUUAAGAAGAACCAAAGCAGAAUAAACGUAGAACCCGAUGCUGAGUUCACGAGUGAGGACGACCUCUUCCUAUAUGCUUUGCUAUACCCUGCGUUUUGAACAUUAAGGACGAGAUAGGAGGCCCAUAAUGUUUCUUCUUGCUUUAAUCCUGUCGUGGCAACGUUGACUUCCAGUAAGAAAGGUUCUCUGAUCUUUUUUUCUCUUUUCUUUUCUUUUCUUUUCUUUUCCUUUCUUUUCUUUUCUUUUCUUCCAGGGUCUCAGUUUGUUGUCCAGGCCAGAGUGCAGUGGCGCAAUCUCGGCUCACUGCAGCCUCAACAUCCUAGGCUCAAGCCAUCCUCCCACCUCACCCUCCCGAGUAGCUGGAAGUACAGGCUCGUCUUGAACUCUGGGCUGAAGUCAUCCACCUGCCUCGGCCUCCCAAAGUGCUAGGAUUACAGGCCUUAGCCACCUCACCUAGUCCUCUGAAAUUUCUAAAUAAGCCAGUGCUGAAGGAUCUAGCCCAACUUCUACCAAACUUUGUUACCUUUUCCCCUUCAGUGGUAGGAAUAGACAUGAUUUAUUUAGCAAGGGUGAGUGCUUUUGUUGAAUUUUAGUUUGGGGUUUAUUAUUACACAAACUAAAGACAGCGGGGCAAUUUGGAAAGAUAACUAGGCAGCUGCAUGACUUCAGGCAGGUGUCCUAACACUGUACUCUUAAAGUGAGGGGAGUGAACUGGAAGAUAUCCUGUGUCCUCAUAGUUUGAACAUUCUGUGGUUCGCUCAUCAAUAUGACUACACUGUAUAGUCAUAGCACACAUUUGAGGUCUUGAAGAAGAGAGAUGAGGCUUGUUCUAAAAAGCAUCCAGAGUAGGUCUUGAAAAAGGAUUUCUGUUUAAGUAAAGACCUAAAACAAUGCUCAGAUUCCUAUUAUACAUAGGAUCCAUGAACUGGAAAAGAUAUGGAUGAGUCUGAGUAAAUUAUCUAGGUUUUGUUUUAGACAAAACCAUUCCACUGUCAAGCAGCAGAGAGCAAGGGAGUGGGGAUGGAGGUAUAUUGUGUUUUUUUAAAGGCCAUAAGAAAAUAAUUGUCUUGAUAAAAUUUUAACUUAGGACUGGGUAUGGUGGCUCGUGCCUGAAAUCUCAGCAGUUUGGGAGGCUGAGGCAGGAGGAUCACUUGAGCCCAGGAAGGAGACCAGCCUGAGCAACAUGGCGAGACCCCUAUCUCUACAAAAAAUGUUAAAAUUUGCCAGGCAUGGUGGUGCAAGCCUGUAGUCCCAGCUGUUUGAGAGGCUGAGGCAGGAAGAUUGCUUGAACCUAGGAGGUCAAGGCUGUAGUGAACAGUGUUUGCUAUACCACAUUCCAAUCUGGUGACAAAGCAAGACCCUGUCUCAAAAAAAAGAAUUUUUUUUAACUUGAGGGAAAAAAAGUUUUACAAACUGUAGACACACAGCAAAACAGAAACAGGAAAAAAAGUACUAAAAAGAGAAAAAUGUCAGUAGUGGGUCUCUAAGUAGUCGGAUUAUGAGUAAUUGGGUAAGUUUAUUGUCAUUUUGCUUCUCCAUAAUUUCGUAUGUUCUACUAUUUAGUUUUGUGGAUUCCUUCCCACUCCCUGGGAAGAGGGGAAGAGAGGAGAAAAAUCAUUGAUUCUUCUCAAUAGGAAAACUAAUUCCCUGUGCAACUUAAACCUUUAAUACCAUAGCAUGUGUUUAGAAUCUCAUAAAGAAUCAUUCAUCAAACAUUUCAACAAGUCAUUCAGUUAAUAUUUGUUGAAUGGGUAAGUGCUAGGAAUUCAAAUGAGGGUAGAUCUUUCAGACUAAACUUGUCUGGCAGGGUUGCAUGGAAGAAGCAGAACCAGAACUGGUCCUGGAGGGGAAUGGGGUGGAGCAGGGAAGAGUGUGUUCAGGAAAGGAGGGUGGGAAUAGGCACAGCCACAGACGUAGGAAAGCAUGGAGAGGGGACCAUUUGGAUGGAAUAGAAGGAUGAGAAAGAACUGAAAAGAUAGGUUGAGACCAGACUGUAGAGGGCCCUGUAAUCACUUGAUUCACACUAGUAAUUAUGUAAUUGAUUAUUUGUAAUUAUUUAAUGUCUGGUGCAUCCACCAUAAGGGUAGGAACCAGUCUGUCUGGUUCUCCACAGCUCUCCCAGCACCUAGAGAGUGCUUAGCACAUAAUUGACUCUCAGUACUUCUUUGCAACUGGAUGGCUGACUUGAAUCCCAGGCGAAGAAGCCUUGGUUUUGUUCAGCAUGUAAAAGAUUAUCACUGAAAGGUUUUGAGUAGGGCUGUGGGGUGAUCAAAUACUGCCUUCCCUGAGGACUAGAAUGGAUGAGGAGAUGCUUAAGUUGGGCAUUGAAAGAUAUGUACAACCUGAUUAAUAGAGAAUAAAAGAUGUGGAAAUAGAAAUUAAUGUAGUGGGUAGCAAUAAUAGAAAUUUCAUCCAGAGAAGAGGAGAGAAUGCAAAAAGGGAGUGAUGGGAAAUAAAACUGAUGAAAUAAAAGAAGGGCAGAUUGUAAAAGACUUUGAAAGUCAGGUGGAAUUACCAAGAUUUUACCACUAUGAAGUUUUUGAGGAGGGGAUUGGCAGAUGUCACCCCAAAAAAGAAACAUUUUCUCUACCACGCUGAAAAGCAUAGCAUAAGGGAGAAAAUAGCAAUCAAGAUGCAAGUUGGCAUUAGACUUAAGUCAACAGAUCAUGGUUUAUCCUGGCUUUGUCCUUUAAAAAUGCUGUGACUUUGGGCAAGACACCAGUUUGAACCUCAGUUUCCUCAAUUUUAAGUAGGUGUAAUAAUAAUACCUGGUUUUAAUGGAUGUUUACAGGAUUAAAUGAGACAGGACAUGCAGAAGCUCUUAGCUUGCUGCUCACACCCAGCAAAUAGUCAACAUAUUUUUUUCCUUCUUUCACCUGCCCAUUACCCCCAAGAAACACUCUUUAAUUACACCUAGGCCUCUUGACUGAAAGUUGAACCCAGGGUUUUCCCUAAAGGAAAGAGAGAGAAGGAAGGAAGGAAAAAGGAACAGAGGCCUCUGGGAGGCCGAGAUGGGUGGACCACUUGAGCUGAGGAGUUCAAGACCAGCCUGGGCAACAUGGUGAAACCCCAUCUCUACAAAAUAGAAAAAUUAGCCAGGCAUGGUGGUGCCUGUGGUCCUAGCUUUUGGGAGGCUGAGAUGGGAGGAUCGCUUGAGCAGAGAUGUUGAGGCUGUAGUGAGCUGAGAUUGCUCCACUGCACUCUAGCCUGGGUAACAAAACGAGACCCUCUCUCUCAAAAAAAAAAAAAGGAACAGAAAGGAGAGGAGAGGAAGGGGUGAAGGAAGGAGGGAGGGCAGGAGGAGAGGGAAAGAAAGAAAGGACGAAAAAGAGAAAAACAGGAAGGAAGCAGGGAGGGGAGAAAAGGAAGGAAAGAAAGGAGGGAAGGGAAGAAAGAGGGCAGGCAUCAUAGACUAUUGAAGAAUUUGGGGUCUUGGCUUCUGACUGAGUUUGAAUCUAUGCUUACUGUGUGCCAUUAGGCAAGUUAACCCUGCUGUGCCCCAGAUCCCUCACCUGGAAAUUAGGGAUAAUUGUACCUAUCUUAUAUAUGUUAUGUGCUUAACACAUAAUCUAGCAUGUAGUUACUGGUAUUAUUUGAGCCUAAACCGUGACUUAGUUAAUGAAUGUCACCCUUUCCUUGAUUCUUUUGGGAAAUAUUUAAAAUUAGUACUUUGAUGUAAAAAAAAAAAAUCCCUCAAGCAGACUUUUACCUUUUUUUUUUUUUUUUUUUAAAGAAACAAGGUCUCACUGUGUCACCCAGGCUGGAGAGCAGUGGCACGAUCAUAGCUCACUGAUCACAUGGCAGCCUCAAACUCCUGGACUCAGUGGGUCCUCCUGCCUCAGCAUCCUGAGUAGCUGGGACUACAGGUGCGUGCCACCACACCUGGCAAAUUUUGUUAAUUUUUGGUAGAGAUAAGGACUCACUGUGUUGCCCAGGCUGGCUUCAAACUCUUGGCCUCAAGUGAUCCUCCUGCCUCCAUCUCUUCAAAUGCUGGGAUUACAGGUUUGAGCCACCGUGCCUGGCCCCUUUGACCUUUUCUAAAAGAGCCAGCCCACCACUUUCACCUCUCAUGUGUACCAUUUCAGGAAAGAAGCCCUAGUUCCUGUUUCAUAAACUCCAUUUGCAUUAAAUAUGAUUUUAGGCAAAUGGUUUGGGCAGAUAUGUGGCAGGGCUGAUGGAACAGACCUGUGGAGUCAGACCCAGACAAGUCUUGAUCAACUUGUCAUGACUGUGGGAGGCCUUUCACCUCUCUGAGCCUCUGUUUCAUUGUUGGUAACAUGAGAUUGUAUAAAAUGGGGUUGCUGUGAAGGUUAGAUGAAGUAAGAGGUCCUCCUGGCAGUGCCUAAUACAUAAUAAUAAGUGCUUAAUAAAUUGUAAAUGUUAUUACAGUUGAUAGUAUUUAAUUCCUCUAUGAGGAAUUAUGAGUUAAUGUAGCUUGAACCACCAAAAAGGUAAGAAAUCUUUCCUCUUUUAGGAAAACCUCAGUUCAGAAAAGCAAUAAACUAUGGGGGGGGUGGCUGUUUAGAAUGUUGCAUCUCUGGAGAGCAAGUUGCAUUUUAACAAUGAUCAGAGCCUUUAAUUAAGGAGUGAAGGUCAAAUCAUUUCUGCUUCAUCCAGCCUGGUUGCAGAGUGAGCCCAUGGGACAGCCCUCUGAAAUUAUACUGCUUACAACCAUGCUGAGUCUGCAAGGACUUCGUCCAAGCCUUUCCGUCCAGGACCUCAAACAGAUCCAAUCACAAGAAGAGAGAUUUCAGGAAAGAGAAAAUUAUUCCUAUCAUCGGGGUUUUUGAAGAACAUGAAAUGACUGGGAAAAUAAUCAUGUUAAGUGGAAAAAAAAAAGAAAUCUAUCUGUUGUAAUUUUCAAAUAAUUUUUAAAUAAAUUUGAAAAAUUAAGAGAACUAUAUAUAUAAUACAUUCCUAAUCUUGUGAAAAAUAUAUAUGCAUUAAUAUUAUUGAAAGAAAUAUAUCAAAAGGUGAACAGCAAUUAUCACCAAUCUAGAUUAUGAGAUUAGGAGUGAUUUUUUUUCUUUGUCCUAUACUAUUUAAUAUUUUCUACCAUUAAAAUAUUCUGAUUUUCUAAUUAGAAUAGUACGUUAGACAAAGAAGGACAAAUAUCACAUGAACUCUCACUCUCUUAUGGAACAGAUCUUGUGGAAUCUAAAAAAGUUGAACUCAUAGAAAAAGAGGAAAAUGAUGGUUACCAGUUAGAAAAAAGGAAUAAGUUCAAGAGAUCUAUUGUACACCAUGGUCAAUAUAGUUAACAAUAUAUUUUAUACUUUAAAAUUGCUAAGGUAGUAGAUUUUAAGUGUUCUCACCACACAAAAAAAUAAGUAUGUGAAAAGCAUAUGGUAAUUAGCUUGAUUUAACCACGCCACAGUGCAUACAUAUGUCAAAACAUCAUGUUGUAUACUAUAAAUAUAUACACUUUUUGUCAAUUUUAAACAGGUUAUAAAAAAACAUGUUAUUGUUGAUAAUUAUGAAAAAUUUUAAUGAUGUGGAAAUGUGUACAGUAUAAUGAUAAAUGAAAGAGUAGUAAAAAUCCUUAUAAAAUAUAAUUACAAAUGUGUUGGGUGGAUAAUAUAAAAAUCUUAACAGCUAUUUCUGAGCUAAGUGGUGGAGCAUGGGUAAUUUUUAGUGCCUUCUGUGUCAGGCUGUUCUUGCAUUGCUAUGAAGAAAUACCUGGCCAGGCGCGGUGGCUCACGCCUA